Molecule: ribosomal RNA, 253 nt
Filed under: uncultured bacterium
Lineage: Bacteria
Description: partial 16S ribosomal RNA
Rfam family: Bacterial small subunit ribosomal RNA
Source: RNAcentral
UACGUAGGGGGCAAGCGUUGUCCGGAAUCAUUGGGCGUAAAGAGCGUGUAGGCGGCCCGAUAAGUCCGCUGUGAAAGUCGGGGGCUCAACCCUCGGAUGCCGGUGGAUACUGUCGGGCUCGAGUGCGGAAGAGGCGAGUGGAAUUCCUGGUGUAGCGGUGAAAUGCGCAGAUAUCAGGAGGAACACCAAUUGCGAAGGCAGCUCGCUGGGACGUUACUGACGCUGAGACGCGAAAGCGUGGGGAGCAAACAGG